Molecule: long non-coding RNA, 538 nt
Filed under: Carica papaya (papaya)
Lineage: Eukaryota; Viridiplantae; Streptophyta; Magnoliopsida; Brassicales; Caricaceae
Description: long non-coding RNA (CPAP_LNC009161)
Source: RNAcentral
AUAGGAUCACAGCUGAAGUAUAAUAAACUCUUUAUUUGGCUAUAAUAAUAAAUGCAAAAUCAUGCGGUUGGCAUACAGUAUACACCAUGUUGUGCUCUUAUUGGCUUCUUAUAUUUAUGUUUACGUGAUUUCAGUUGGCUCCAAGUAACUAGAGAUAUACAAGUUGAUAAAAAAAAAUAUGAAUAUGGCGUAUUGUUUUUAUGUAUAGACAGAGAUGUCGACCUCAUUUACUUUCAUCGUUGUCAUAAUUUAGCAUGUAUGCUUGUCAACUCCCUAUUCAACAUACUGUGGUAUUAAUAUAUGAGCUUGUUUGGUCCACAAUCACAUUACAGCCGGAUUCAAUCAUGUCAUUUUAAUCUGGCUUUCGAAAUUUCACGCACCUCGGUGUCUCAGUAGUAUUUGAGAUUAUAUAUAGUCUCAUGCAAUAAAUAUAGUUUCUUUUAUUAUGGUUAUGAAGUAGCUAGAUAAGAGGAAAACAGUAAACAACACAAGAACAAUGAGAGCAAAAGGGAGGGAACAAGGAGAUUUUAUUGCACUC